UUGAAAGUUCUAAAAAAACAUUUUUUUUGUGUGAUAGUGGCAACCCUGGUGAUGAUUAAUGUCACCAGACAUCUAGAUAAAUUUUUUUGCAAAACAUUGAAAAUUUUGAUUUUGGCAACCCUGGUAGGGUCGAUGAUUAAUAACAUCAGACAACUAGAUUCAAGACAAUUUUUGCAAAACGCUGAAUAUUUUGAUAGUCGCAUAAUUGAAAACAUGUUUUGUCUGCGACACAGUAAACAAAUUUAUCGUUUGGAAAAUUCCCAGUCUUACCGAGUCAUCUCCCGUCAAUCCCUUGACUUGGAGUAGUUCCGCCGUGCGCAGAAACGUGGCCAAAUUCUCCCUGAGAACAUUCACUUCCCCCAUGUACAUGAACUCCAGGAUGUCCUUCAUGUUAUCAUGAGCAACGUCCUUGAGGAUAACAAUGGGGUGUUUGCACGGAUUAACUUUAAACAUUUGCUUGAAAUAGGGACUACAUAUCGAGAGGACGACUUUAUGCGCUUGAAAAAAAUGCCCUUCCACAGCCAACGUAACAUCGACCAUUUCCGAGGACUCCAGCAAUUCGUGGAAGCCCGCAGUGAGGUUAGAAUGAAAAUUAUUCCAACGCAACGAAAACUGCUCAGUCGUGGCCAUUUUGCUAAAUAACAACAAAAGGUUAAGUCUCCAUAAAUAACUCGGGAAAAAAUAGGUCGCUUACUCACCCUUUCCUCAAAAUUAUCACAAUGUAAACACGCAAAAAACCGAAUUAUUACUCAACAAAACCUCGCGUAAAGGCGUAAAACGACGACUUACAUAACACGGACCAAUUUUCCAAACACAACACUUGUAAAAACACGAGUGCAACCCUAAUUAUUCAUUUCCGGGACCAAUCCGGGCAUCCGGGAUGCGUGAUUGACUGGUGACAACUGAAAACAGUGCUACCAACCGGCGCUGAAAACCGCCAAUGGCGGGAGGUUUGAAACUGGAGCUUUAUUCAUUCUUAUCAAAACUAUACACAUACAAAUAGAAAUAUUUAUUGGUUCAGUCAAUGGAUCACUUGGUACUCGAAAAGUCCGAGAAGCUGCCACGAGACAUCGAAGAAAAUUCACCAGGGCUGAAGACGUCGCGACGCUUUGUUAUCACCCGUUUCAGGAUAUCGGCGACGCCGGUGUUCAGCAACGCGUUUAUGCAACUACUGCUUGAAGACUGAGGGGCGGACUUCUGCAGUUGCUGCCUCUCCUGAGACUCCAUAGCGUACGAAAAUGACCGCUCUCUUUGCACUAUCACUUCGUCUUUGACCGAAUUCUAGAUUAAAAACCACAAAAUUAACAAAGUUCUGUUUCACAUUUAAUAAAAAUUUAAAAAAAAAAUGGUAGUUAUGCAACCAGUUAUACAUGUGUAUCAGACUGAUUACAUAACCUCACUAGAAGUCCCAAUGAAAUUUGGACUUACGUGUUGCGAAUACGGUGCAGAAUAGUACGAGUCGUUCUUCGAGUCGUCAAACUCGUGGUCCGCCCUCUUGAGGGCAUUUUGUAGGAUUUCAGUGAUCCUCUGUGCACACUUGAUCGCUUCAUUGAUCUCAUCCACUGUUAACAUGACUUGUUCCAGGGACAUUUUUUCGGUGAAUUCGCGUUGUGUACUGCACGUACUUUUCGCGUCUGAGAGUUCAUCACCGGUCCGAUCUUCAUUCGAGGUACUCAAGUAUGGACUUGAGAGAUACCGACUCCUCGCACUGUUAUAAUUCAACCAAAAAUUAUUCCACUCGCCCACUUUGUUAUCGACAUCGGAGACUUCGGCCGUGGUGGCGCUCCCAAAGUACUCGCUGUUGACGCUCUCGAUCCAACUGAGGUAGCUUGAGCCGGGACUCAUGAGGGUUUUCUCCUCCCUGCCGGUCUCGGUGGUGCUGCGGACCGCGUAGUCGGUGCAGUCGGACGAUGAGGACUCCAUGGAGCUGCACUCGCGGCUCGGGUAGAGGGAGGACGUGGAGAAGGAGCUUUUGGUUUUGUACUCGGAUAUGGACUCCAAACUAAGCCUAAAGAACUGAUUGAAAUAACACGAAAAAAAUUAAUAAUUUCAUGAAACCUGUAGGUGCUAUCCAGCGACUUGCGAUACCCCUUCUCCUCCCCAUUCAGACUCGCCUCCUUGUCGAUCUUCUUCGCCGCCCGUUUCACCGUCCCCGUGCGACUGAACACCGGCGCCGCCGAGCCAAAGAGCGUCAAGUCGGUGAAGUCGUUACUCUCUCGCAUCAUCAACGCCUGAUUCGGCGAACUGUUGGACGAUUCUGAGUGCGAAUUGGAGUCUUUGGUACUGCCUUCGUGCGACAUACUCCACACAUUGAUUUGGACUUUUGACUAUUUAUCGCCGUCGGGGGUUCAGUGGUACUAAGGGCGAGGUGUGUGGUCACGCUCCAGGAACUAAGAGUAUCCAUGCCAACGAUUAACCGACGCAAAUCUUCACGAAUCGCUGGGUAUCCAUCGCCGUUAAAUCAAUAGGAGGGUUAAUGUGACGAAAAUAGGCCGGGCUUGCGACCGAACCUUCAAAACUUGAACGAAAUAAUCAGCCGGGUCAACAUUGGAGUUCAAGUCAAACACAGUUUCAGCUACAUAAAUUCUGUAUUUGAUAAUAUUUCAGUUACACAUAACGGGUUAAUGAAUCGUACGGCCUGAAACCGAGUCUCACAGGUAGUUAGAAUUAUAGUCAUAUAUCUACAGGUGAGAGAUUGAAGUUUAUGAUAAGAAGGCACCGCUGAAAGAAGACGGGGAAUUCAAUACAAUCGCCUAAAUUGUUGAAAACUGAAAAAAUCGCGAUCGCAAUGAACUAAAAUAAUUCAUUCACACUAAAUCUGGAUGAAUUUAUUAAUCGUAUAAAUACUAUGUACAAACUAAAAUCCAUUUAUUGCUAAAACAUGAUGGAACAUUGCAUGAUACACAAAACCCUUAAAGAAAAUACAAAUAAUAUCAGAAGAGUCAUUUCUGUAGGAAUAACAUGUAUCGGUACCUGCGGUUUAUAUUAUUGCCAACUAACAAACCAAAACCACUCGUCCCUUUUUCUAAAAAUUGCAGAAACAUCUAAAAUGUUUAAUUUUAGGCAACAACGCUUGUUUUUUUUUUUUAAUUUAAUCACUAUACACGAAACACACACCACAAUAAUAGUGCGUAGAUUCACUUAUUUACUUAAAUAUAAAUCAGUCAUUUAAUCUUAGCUACUCUAGCAGCGCCCUAGUUGAGGAGACUAGACCUACGCUUGGUGCGACAAUAUGAUGAUGCGAGUACAUUAUUGCGAAAUACAAAACUGAAUUGACUUGAGUGGAACUUUGUAUCAGCAAAAUAUCAAUCAUUGGCGUCAUUUUGUCGACGGACGCUUUCCCAACAUUUCCCAACUGGAAAACCGCCCGAAAUUGGAGUUUACGAAGCUGAUUAGAUUGUCACGAUAAGCAAUGGAAAACACUUUAGACGUUUCGUGCCAAUCGGACCAGAACUUCCGACAAAUCAAAAAUAAGGCAACCAAUGUGGGAAAACUAACCCUUCUUUGACUAUGGUGGUGGGGAAGACGAAAAGUUGAGUCAGAGUUCUGGUCUAGGUGUACUGAUGUUAGAAAUAAAUUGUGACAUCAAUACCGAAACAAACUACGCAUAUAUACAGGGUGUCCAGCAAAGACAGAGGAACUUUUUUCUUAUUUUGAUCUAGGGAACCUCCCCCAAAAACGUUUCAACGUUUUUCCCGCACACCCUGUAUAUCGUCCAACCAACAACUGUAACCAAUUCAACCGACAACCUACCAAUCCCAACUACUUACAUGUCUAAAGUGAAAAUAUCCUCAUAUGUUCUAACAAAUAACAAAUUAGGUACAAAUAUACGCGCGAUUCAACAACACUCAAGAUCGUUCACGGAUGCGUAUUGAAGCAGCUAAUAUAGUCUUCUAGGCGUUGGACUCUUUGAGAUCUUGUAGUCGGGCCAGCUGAUGGGGCUCAAGUUCGUCGGGGAUGCUAGCCCUGCCGCCGACCACCUGUUUGGGUUCGCUGACCACAUGACUCACCGAAUUUUCGGCGGUGCUAGGCCCCGUCGUCUCACCAUCGCUGCCCGUGCUACUACUGACGACAAACGGCGUCGAAUCGCCGUCGGGUUCGGCCGCCACCGGUGUCUCCUCCUCGUCCUCUUCAGGUAUGGGGGCGGUUUCCUCGCGAUGGUUGACAGGUGGGUCUUCAGGGGGUGGAAAUGGGUGUUCGGGUUCUUCCAUCAUGGGCGUGGCGGCGGUUAUUACGAUUUGGGCCACGCCGAGGCCUAAAUCGUCCUGUUGUGGGUCGGAUUCAGGACCGGCUUGAUCAUCCUAACCAAGUAAAAUAAAGUGAAAAAUUGAAAAACCCAAAAUGGUUUAAGACAAAUUACCUCACCAACGAUUUCGACGCUCGGAACGUCGAUCGCUGCAUGAAAAGGAGUCUUACUUCAGCUGCUACUAAAAAAUUGGGGACAUCAGGUGGUGUGAAAACGGGUGGUGCAGACUGGGGUGGUGUUUCGUCCCACUGAUUCGUCAAUGGUUCUCCGAAUUCGUCGCAUUCUUCCACCACCAAUGAAGGAAAGUUUCCGAUUCGACCUUCCAGUUCUCCCUUCCACCAUCCAUCAUCGACACUAUGUGCACAUUUACUCAAAACUUUGAUUAUUUGACCCUCUUCGAAAGUGAGUUCUUCGCCACCUUCGCCGUCAUAAUCGUAGAGGGCAAUGCAGUAGGAUGCUGCAGUGAAAUGACUGAGACUUGUUCUGGCGACUGAUUUGUCGUCUCUGACGGUGCUUGCACUUCCUCCUCGUUAUCUACGGUGUAGUCUACCGAUGAAAAUGAUAUUUGAUUGACUAGUCCUGGCGUCGUCGCCGUCUGUUCUCGCUCCACGUCCAGGUAAUUAUGUGAUGCAAUCGAUACUACAAAAUGGAAAAAUUUAUUUUGAAAAAAAAUAUCCACUAGUUCAGCGUUUCCCAAACUGUGGUUCGCCGAAAAAAAUGCUGAUUAGUUGAUUAUGCAUAAUGAAUUAUGCAGUUUAUUGAGUGUAAUAAAGUCUAUU
Long non-coding RNA from Tribolium madens (black flour beetle), 5025 nucleotides. RefSeq lists it as uncharacterized. Lineage: Eukaryota; Metazoa; Arthropoda; Insecta; Coleoptera; Tenebrionidae. The record is from RefSeq and is a predicted model, not a curated record. The transcript is spliced from 4 exons.